UACGGAGGAUGCAAGCGUUAUCCGGAAUGAUUGGGCGUAAAGCGUCCGCAGGUGGCAAUGUAAGUCUGCUGUCAAAGCGUCUGGCUCAACCAGAUACAGGCAGUGGAAACUACAUAGCUAGAGUAAGGUAGGGGUAGAGGGAAUUCCUGGUGUAGCGGUGAAAUGCGUAGAGAUCGGGAAGAACACCAAUGGCGAAGGCAGCCUCCUGGGCCAACAUUGACGCUGAGACGCGAAAGCGUGGGGAGCAAACAGG
Molecule: ribosomal RNA, 253 nt
Filed under: uncultured bacterium
Lineage: Bacteria
Description: partial 16S ribosomal RNA
Rfam family: Bacterial small subunit ribosomal RNA
Source: RNAcentral